This 1470-nucleotide ribosomal RNA is filed under the name uncultured Bordetella sp. RNAcentral describes it as "partial 16S-23S ribosomal RNA intergenic spacer". It matches the Rfam family "Bacterial small subunit ribosomal RNA". Lineage: Bacteria; Pseudomonadati; Pseudomonadota; Betaproteobacteria; Burkholderiales; Alcaligenaceae. The record is from RNAcentral.
AGUUCGAUUAUGGCUCAGAUUGAACGCUGGCGGGAUGCUUUUACACAUGCAAGUCGAACGGCAGCACGGACUUCAGUCUGGUGGCGAGUGGCGAACGGGUGAGUAAUGUAUCGGAACGUGCCUAGUAGCGGGGGAUAACUACGCAGCGUAGCUAUUACCGCAUACGCCCUUCGAGGAAAAGCGGGGGACCUUCGGGCCUCGCACUAUUAAAACAGCCGAUAUCGGAUUAGCUAGUUGGUGGGGUAACGGCUCACCAAGGCGACGAUCCCGUAGCUGGUUUUUGAGAGGACGACCAGCCACACUGGGACUGAGACCUGGCCCAGACUCCUACGGGAGGCAGCAGUGGGGAAUUUUGGACAAUGGAAACCCUGAUCCAGUAUCGCAUUAAUGCGAUGAAGGCCUUCGGGUUGUAAAGCACUUUUGGCAGGAAGAAACGGCCUGGGAUAUCCUGAUGCAACUGACGGUACCUGCAGAAUAAGCGCAAUAACUACGUGCCAGCAGCCGCGGUAAUACGUAGGGUGCAAGCGUUAAUCAGAUUACUGGGUAAAGCGUGCGCAGGCGGUUCCGGAAAAGAUGUGAAAUCCCCAGAGCUUAACUUUGGAACUGCAUUUUUAACUACACCGACUAGAAGUGUGUCAGAGGAGGUGGAAUUCCGCGUGUAGCAGUGAAAUGCGUAGAUAUGCGGGAGGAACACCGAUGGCGAGAGCGGCCUCCUUGGGAUAACACUGACGCUCAUGCACGAAAGCGUGGGGCAAACAGGAUUAGACACCCUGGUAGUCCACGCCCUAAACGGUAUCCAACUAGCUGUUGGGGCCUUCGGGCCUUGGUAGCGCAGCUACGCGUGAAGUUGACCCGCCUGGGAGUACGGUCGCAAGAUUAAAACUCAAAGGAAUUGACACGGGGACCCACACUGGCGGUGGAUGAUGUGGAUUAAGUGGUGCAACGCGAAAAGGCAACACCUUGACAUGUCUGGAAUCCCGAAGAGAUUUGGAGUGCUCGCAAGAGAACCGGAACACAGGUGCUGCAUGGCUGUCGUCGGCGCCAUUGUCAAGAUGUUGGGUUAAGUCCCGCAACGAGCGCAACCCUUGUCAUUAGUUGCUACGAAGGGCACUCUAAUGAGACUGCCGGUGACAAACCGGAGGAAGGUGAGGAUGACGUCAAGUCCUCAUGGCCCUUAUGGGUAGGGCUUCACGUCAUACAAUGGUCAGGACAAGAGGGUCGCCAACCCGCGAGGAGGCCAAUCCCAGAAACCCGAUCUCGUGAUCCGGAUCGCAGUCUGCCGAGCUCUGUUGCGUGAAGUCCCGGAAUCGCUAAUGUCGCGGAUCAGCAUGUCGCGGUGAAUACGUUCCCGGGUCUUGUACACACCGCCCGUCACACCAUGGGAGUGGGUUUUACCGGUAGUUAGCUAACCGUAAGGAGGGCGAUUACCACGGUAAAGUUCAUGACUGGGAGGUGAUCGUAACAAGGUAA